CCUUGAUGGCGACCGGCGCACGGGUGAGUAACACGUAUCCAACCUGCCGAUAACUCGGGGAUAGCCUUUCGAAAGAAAGAUUAAUACCCGAUGGUAUAAUCAGACCGCAUGGUUUGAUUAUUAAAGAAUUUCGGUUAUCGAUGGGGAUGCGUUCCAUUAAGCAGUUGGUGAGGUAACGGCUCACCAAACCUUCGAUGGAUAGGGGUUCUGAGAGGAAGGUCCCCCACAUUGGAACUGAGACACGGUCCAA
Molecule: ribosomal RNA, 250 nt
Filed under: uncultured bacterium
Lineage: Bacteria
Description: partial 16S ribosomal RNA
Rfam family: Bacterial small subunit ribosomal RNA
Source: RNAcentral